RNAcentral lists this ribosomal RNA (497 nucleotides) under uncultured bacterium. RNAcentral describes it as "partial 16S ribosomal RNA". It matches the Rfam family "Bacterial small subunit ribosomal RNA", at positions 28 to 507 of the family's 1533-position model. The record is from RNAcentral.
GAUCAACGCUGGCGGCGUGCCUAAUACAUGCAAGUCGAGCGAACGGACGAGAAGCUUGCUUCUCUGAUGUUAGCGGCGGACGGGUGAGUAACACGUGGAUAACCUACCUAUAAGACUGGGAUAACUUCGGGAAACCGGAGCUAAUACCGGAUAAUAUUUUGAACCGCAUGGUUCAAAAGUGAAAGACGGUCUUGCUGUCACUUAUAGAUGGAUCCGCGCUGCAUUAGCUAGUUGGUAAGGUAACGGCUUACCAAGGCAACGAUGCAUAGCCGACCUGAGAGGGUGAUCGGCCACACUGGAACUGAGACACGGUCCAGACUCCUACGGGAGGCAGCAGUAGGGAAUCUUCCGCAAUGGGCGAAAGCCUGACGGAGCAACGCCGCGUGAGUGAUGAAGGUCUUCGGAUCGUAAAACUCUGUUAUUAGGGAAGAACAUAUGUGUAAGUAACUGUGCACAUCUUGGCGGUACCUAAUCAGAAAGCCACGGCUAACUACGUG